UACGUAGGGUGCAAGCGUUAAUCGGAAUUACUGGGCGUAAAGCGUGCGCAGGCGGCUUUGCAAGACAGAUGUGAAAUCCCCGGGCUCAACCUGGGAACUGCAUUUGUGACUGCAUGGCUAGAGUACGGCAGAGGGGGAUGGAAUUCCGCGUGUAGCAGUGAAAUGCGUAGAUAUGCGGAGGAACACCGAUGGCGAAGGCAGUCCCCUGGGCCUGUACUGACGCUCAUGCA
RNAcentral lists this ribosomal RNA (230 nucleotides) under uncultured microorganism. RNAcentral describes it as "partial 16S ribosomal RNA". It matches the Rfam family "Bacterial small subunit ribosomal RNA", at positions 524 to 753 of the family's 1533-position model. The record is from RNAcentral.